UACGGAGGGAGCUAGCGUUGUUCGGAAUUACUGGGCGUAAAGCGCGCGUAGGCGGCUUUGCAAGUUAGAGGUGAAAGCCCGGAGCUCAACUCCGGAACUGCCUUUAAAACUGCAUAGCUUGAAUCCGGGAGAGGUGAGCGGAAUUCCGAGUGUAGAGGUGAAAUUCGUAGAUAUUCGGAAGAACACCAGUGGCGAAGGCGGCUCACUGGACCGGUAUUGACGCUGAGGUGCGAAAGCGUGGGGAGCAAACAGG
Molecule: ribosomal RNA, 253 nt
Filed under: uncultured bacterium
Lineage: Bacteria
Description: partial 16S ribosomal RNA
Rfam family: Bacterial small subunit ribosomal RNA
Source: RNAcentral